Molecule: ribosomal RNA, 2566 nt
Filed under: Escherichia coli
Lineage: Bacteria; Pseudomonadati; Pseudomonadota; Gammaproteobacteria; Enterobacterales; Enterobacteriaceae
Description: partial 23S ribosomal RNA
Rfam family: Bacterial large subunit ribosomal RNA
Source: RNAcentral
CUGUGAGCUCGAUGAGUAGGGCGGGACACGUGGUAUCCUGUCUGAAUAUGGGGGGACCAUCCUCCAAGGCUAAAUACUCCUGACUGACCGAUAGUGAACCAGUACCGUGAGGGAAAGGCGAAAAGAACCCCGGCGAGGGGAGUGAAAAAGAACCUGAAACCGUGUACGUACAAGCAGUGGGAGCACGCUUAGGCGUGUGACUGCGUACCUUUUGUAUAAUGGGUCAGCGACUUAUAUUCUGUAGCAAGGUUAACCGAAUAGGGGAGCCGAAGGGAAACCGAGUCUUAACUGGGCGUUAAGUUGCAGGGUAUAGACCCGAAACCCGGUGAUCUAGCCAUGGGCAGGUUGAAGGUUGGGUAACACUAACUGGAGGACCGAACCGACUAAUGUUGAAAAAUUAGCGGAUGACUUGUGGCUGGGGGUGAAAGGCCAAUCAAACCGGGAGAUAGCUGGUUCUCCCCGAAAGCUAUUUAGGUAGCGCCUCGUGAAUUCAUCUCCGGGGGUAGAGCACUGUUUCGGCAAGGGGGUCAUCCCGACUUACCAACCCGAUGCAAACUGCGAAUACCGGAGAAUGUUAUCACGGGAGACACACGGCGGGUGCUAACGUCCGUCGUGAAGAGGGAAACAACCCAGACCGCCAGCUAAGGUCCCAAAGUCAUGGUUAAGUGGGAAACGAUGUGGGAAGGCCCAGACAGCCAGGAUGUUGGCUUAGAAGCAGCCAUCAUUUAAAGAAAGCGUAAUAGCUCACUGGUCGAGUCGGCCUGCGCGGAAGAUGUAACGGGGCUAAACCAUGCACCGAAGCUGCGGCAGCGACGCUUAUGCGUUGUUGGGUAGGGGAGCGUUCUGUAAGCCUGCGAAGGUGUGCUGUGAGGCAUGCUGGAGGUAUCAGAAGUGCGAAUGCUGACAUAAGUAACGAUAAAGCGGGUGAAAAGCCCGCUCGCCGGAAGACCAAGGGUUCCUGUCCAACGUUAAUCGGGGCAGGGUGAGUCGACCCCUAAGGCGAGGCCGAAAGGCGUAGUCGAUGGGAAACAGGUUAAUAUUCCUGUACUUGGUGUUACUGCGAAGGGGGGACGGAGAAGGCUAUGUUGGCCGGGCGACGGUUGUCCCGGUUUAAGCGUGUAGGCUGGUUUUCCAGGCAAAUCCGGAAAAUCAAGGCUGAGGCGUGAUGACGAGGCACUACGGUGCUGAAGCAACAAAUGCCCUGCUUCCAGGAAAAGCCUCUAAGCAUCAGGUAACAUCAAAUCGUACCCCAAACCGACACAGGUGGUCAGGUAGAGAAUACCAAGGCGCUUGAGAGAACUCGGGUGAAGGAACUAGGCAAAAUGGUGCCGUAACUUCGGGAGAAGGCACGCUGAUAUGUAGGUGAAGUCCCUCGCGGAUGGAGCUGAAAUCAGUCGAAGAUACCAGCUGGCUGCAACUGUUUAUUAAAAACACAGCACUGUGCAAACACGAAAGUGGACGUAUACGGUGUGACGCCUGCCCGGUGCCGGAAGGUUAAUUGAUGGGGUUAGCGCAAGCGAAGCUCUUGAUCGAAGCCCCGGUAAACGGCGGCCGUAACUAUAACGGUCCUAAGGUAGCGAAAUUCCUUGUCGGGUAAGUUCCGACCUGCACGAAUGGCGUAAUGAUGGCCAGGCUGUCUCCACCCGAGACUCAGUGAAAUUGAACUCGCUGUGAAGAUGCAGUGUACCCGCGGCAAGACGGAAAGACCCCGUGAACCUUUACUAUAGCUUGACACUGAACAUUGAGCCUUGAUGUGUAGGAUAGGUGGGAGGCUUUGAAGUGUGGACGCCAGUCUGCAUGGAGCCGACCUUGAAAUACCACCCUUUAAUGUUUGAUGUUCUAACGUUGACCCGUAAUCCGGGUUGCGGACAGUGUCUGGUGGGUAGUUUGACUGGGGCGGUCUCCUCCUAAAGAGUAACGGAGGAGCACGAAGGUUGGCUAAUCCUGGUCGGACAUCAGGAGGUUAGUGCAAUGGCAUAAGCCAGCUUGACUGCGAGCGUGACGGCGCGAGCAGGUGCGAAAGCAGGUCAUAGUGAUCCGGUGGUUCUGAAUGGAAGGGCCAUCGCUCAACGGAUAAAAGGUACUCCGGGGAUAACAGGCUGAUACCGCCCAAGAGUUCAUAUCGACGGCGGUGUUUGGCACCUCGAUGUCGGCUCAUCACAUCCUGGGGCUGAAGUAGGUCCCAAGGGUAUGGCUGUUCGCCAUUUAAAGUGGUACGCGAGCUGGGUUUAGAACGUCGUGAGACAGUUCGGUCCCUAUCUGCCGUGGGCGCUGGAGAACUGAGGGGGGCUGCUCCUAGUACGAGAGGACCGGAGUGGACGCAUCACUGGUGUUCGGGUUGUCAUGCCAAUGGCACUGCCCGGUAGCUAAAUGCGGAAGAGAUAAGUGCUGAAAGCAUCUAAGCACGAAACUUGCCCCGAGAUGAGUUCUCCCUGACUCCUUGAGAGUCCUGAAGGAACGUUGAAGACGACGACGUUGAUAGGCCGGGUGUGUAAGCGCAGCGAUGCGUUGAGCUAACCGGUACUAAUGAACCGUGAGGCUUAACCUUACAACGCCGAAGGUGUUU